This 345-nucleotide long non-coding RNA is filed under the name Cyanistes caeruleus (blue tit). RNAcentral describes it as "lncRNA (ENSCCEG00000012203.1)". Lineage: Eukaryota; Metazoa; Chordata; Aves; Passeriformes; Paridae. The record is from RNAcentral.
AUGCUUUUUUUAAUUUUUAUUUUUAAAUCGAGGUUUAAAGCCAUUUCACUCAUUCAAGUUCAGGGUGCUAUUAUCAUUCAUUUCCUUGGAUGUAGGACCAGGCUGUUAUUGCAUAACUGCCAGGAAAAGAAAAGAAGACAAGCAGCAGCAACGCUCACAGCCCGCUUUCCUUUCGCACUCUUCCAAGCAAGUCUGCCAGGAGCUGUAUUGACCAGGGCGCUCUAUCAGCCUCUCCCCGUUUUCACCCCAGGUGCUCCGAUCCGUUCCACUCGCGCUCAGGGAGCCCCAGGCGGCAGCCCCAGCCCCGCAGGAUGGGAGCUCCUCCAUGGCAGGAUGUUUACAUAA